Molecule: ribosomal RNA, 497 nt
Filed under: uncultured bacterium
Lineage: Bacteria
Description: partial 16S ribosomal RNA
Rfam family: Bacterial small subunit ribosomal RNA
Source: RNAcentral
GAUGAACGCUGGCGGCGUGCCUAAUACAUGCAAGUCGAGCGAACGGACGAGAAGCUUGCUUCUCUGAUGUUAGCGGCGGACGGGUGAGUAACACGUGGAUAACCUACCUAUAAGACUGGGAUAACUUCGGGAAACCGGAGCUAAUACCGGAUAAUAUUUUGAACCGCAUGGUUCAAAAGUGAAAGACGGUCUUGCUGUCACUUAUAGAUGGAUCCGCGCUGCAUUAGCUAGUUGGUAAGGUAACGGCUUACCAAGGCAACGAUGCAUAGCCGACCUGAGAGGGUGAUCGGCCACACUGGAACUGAGGCACGGUCCAGACUCCUACGGGAGGCAGCAGUAGGGAAUCUUCUGCAAUGGGCGAAAGCCUGACGGAGCAACGCCGCGUGAGUGAUGAAGGUCUUCGGAUCGUAAAACUCUGUUAUUAGGGAAGAACAUAUGUGUAAGUAACUGUGCACAUCUUGACGGUACCUAAUCAGAAAGCCACGGCUAACUACGUG